This 301-nucleotide ribosomal RNA is filed under the name uncultured bacterium. Its description in RNAcentral is "partial 16S ribosomal RNA". It matches the Rfam family "Bacterial small subunit ribosomal RNA", at positions 509 to 807 of the family's 1533-position model. The record is from RNAcentral.
CAGUCGCCGCGGGAAAACGUAGGUGGCAAGCGUUGUCCGGAAUUAUAGGGCGUAAAGGGCUCGCAGGCGGUUUCUUAAGUCUGAUGUGAAAGCCCCCGGCUCAACCGGGGAGGGUCAUUGGAAACUGGGAAACUUGAGUGCAGAAGAGGAGAGUGGAAUUCCACGUGUAGCGGUGAAAUGCGUAGAGAUGUGGAGGAACACCAGUGGCGAAGGCGACUCUCUGGUCUGUAACUGACGCUGAGGAGCGAAAGCGUGGGGAGCGAACAGGAUUAGAUACCCCUGUAGUCCCUGUCUCUUAUAC